UAUUUUUAUUUUUUUGAUUAGGAUCAUAAUUAGAAUUGGGCGUGCUGUUGGACCGGUGAUUAUUGGACCCAGUGUUGUUGUUAGGACCGCCUCCUUGGUCCUGUUUUGUUUUAGAGCUUGAUCCACUUGACCCAUUAGACCCACAGGAUUCGGAUCCAGUUGAGCCAUUAAACCCGUGUGCUUUGUUCCCAGUCGCACCAGUCCCGUGAGCCUCCACUGCCUUCCCCUUUCUUCUCCGGUUUUGAUUCGAAGUUCCACCAUGCUCGACGAACAGUGCUUGAUCUUUCUCACCACCAUAAGAUUCUUCUUCUCUGAUCCUCUCUUUAUAUGCCUUCAUCCUGCCAACUACAUCAUCAAAAUUGGUAUUAUUUAGGUCUAGUAUAUGUUCCAGUGAUGCUACCAUAUGAAUGAAUUUUCGUGGCAGUGACUUAAGGAACUUCUUUACAAGCUUGGAUUCGUCGAUCACAGAUCCUAAUGCUGCCGAUUUUUAAGAAAUUCCGGACAGCUUUUCGGAGAAAUUGUCGAUCGUCUCUGAUUCGUUCAUCCUAAGCUGAUCGAAUUCGACACCUAGGGUUUGAAGACGGGCCUCCUUCACUCGAUCAACCCCAAUGUAUCGAUCCUUGAUUACGUCCCAAAGCGCCUUCGAAGACUCGACUUCUCUGAUUUGCAUGAUUAAUGAUUUCGGGAUCGCCUGAUACAAUAAUCCCAUUGCCAGGGACCAAGCUGUGUAAUUUGUGGUAUUGAGCAUGGGACAUUGAACCGAGGUCGCUCCAGUCUCCUUCUCCCUCCUCAGAGCACCGCCUCAAGACCCUUCAUCUCCUAUCAUGUCGACCACCUUCUUCAACAGGUAAGUAAAUUGAUUUCAAAACCAUAUGUUCUUGGCUCUGAUACCAAUUCAAGUCAAGAAUGUAUAACACAAACAAUUAAUCAAACUAUCUCUUUGAUUAAAUGAGGAAAUAACUGAAAACUCAAUUUGUGAAUACAAUCUCUUACCCUACACGGCUAAACAAGAUGUAUAUAUAUAUAUAUAUAUAUAUAUAUAUAUAUAUAUAUAUAUAUAUAUAUAUAUAUAUAUAUAUAUAUAUAUAUAUAUAUAUAUAUAUAUAUAUUCUAAUCUACUGACUUGUAAUUAGAUCACAAUUAGGAAACUAAAAACUGACUUGGACAUAGUUUCCUAAAAACUAAGUUGAUUUUGUUUGGUCUCCAAGUCCUACUCGACUUAGGAUUCCAACAUAUGUUUUACAUGAGAAAUUCCAUUUGUUACAUGCCUGGAUUCGGUCGGAACAAAAGGCUAACAUAAAACACCCAAGAAACUUAAAAAUUAGUAAGAUAUGGAUGUAUUAUAAAAUUAUAUUAACAAAAGACUGAAAGAGAAUGUUGGUGGUAUAACACAGUGAUAAGUUUAUCACUUUAGUAACAUUAGUAAAUGGACUAUUAUAAGAUGAUCAAGUAUAUGCAUCCUUCAUAAAAUACUUAUUGCUAUAUGUAUUCUUUUUUAUCAUGAUUAUUUUUACUUUUUGACACAAAUGAAAAAAUAAAUCGUAACCAUAAAAUUUUUAGUCACAUGAUUUUUUUUAAUAAUUUAUCACCAUAAAAUUAAAUUAUGACAAAAAAAUAGUUAUUGUCAUGUUUCUUUUCUUUUAUCAUGACAAGUUUACUUUUUAGACAUAUAAAAAAAAAGUAAACGACAACCUUAAAAUACUUAUAGUUACAUGUUUUUUCUUUUACUAUGUUGCUAAUAAACACUGCCAUUUGGUCACAUAAAAUAAUUUUAGUCACCAUAUAAAUUAGAUUUUUGUAACAGUUUAUUCAUGUAACAAAUUUCACCCUAUUAUUUCGUCACAUAAAUUUCGACUUUGUAUGAGCUUAUGUAUUUAUCAUUUCAAUUAAUAAUCAUCAAAAGAUUAAUCUACAUAUCAAACAAAAAACCGUAACAAGUGAUGACAUAUGGCCAUACUGUUCAACCCUGGCUCGUACUUGUCAUAAUUUUAAUGCUAAAUCGUGGCUAAAGGUGUAAAUAUGAUUUAAAAUGGUCACAAUAAUUUAGCUAAAGUAUGGCUAAAACAAUAUUAGAACAUCAUCAAUGACCGUUAUAUAUCAAAAUAUUCAAAAAUGUGGUCAAAUUGUUUUGACAAAAUUAUGGCCCUUGGUCAUUUGGUAUCGGUGUUCAAAGGGAAUUUUCAAGGGCACAAUUCCUAUGAGCUCUUAUAGAACCAGCAAAAAAUUUAUGAACAUUACAAACAUACUAGUAAGAACCUAAGUACUCCGUAGUUUAUAGAGAAUUAUGUGAGACACAUACUGAUUAUUUAUACGAAUGAUAGAAUGAUUCAAAGAGUACGAGCCUACUAUUUUCCUAGUAAAAUAAUAACUUCUUAAAAUACGGUUCAAAGGGCAACACCAACCUAUCCUAUGAAAGGUUUAACUAAUGUAUUUUAUCUCGGUGGCUUGAAAACGGUCAGAUGUUUUAUAUGAGGAUUGUUGGAAAAAUGGGUUUAUCCAUACUCCAAAAAUAGGCUAUCUCUAUUUCUAAACACAAAUCCAGAUGUUGGUAUAAUAUGCGCUUAAAACGUAGUUAAAAUGAAUGAGAAACUAAUCUUUAAAAUGAAUUAGUUUGAUGAUUUAGAUAAAAAUUAUUAAUGAGCUUAAAUAAUCUCAUAGAGGAUGGAGGUUGAACAAGAAGUUUGUAUAUAACUUAGUAGAAUUUAUUUUUCUCCUUAUAAAACUUAUAGUGUCAGGUCUCUCUCUUGUGUCUGUAGAGGGUGAAGCUACGAACCAAAGUGCCUUGGUUCACUAAACUUGUUUGUGAGCGUGCACGAAUACACCGCUCUACCAAAUAAGUCCAUGGCAUUUAAGUAAAUAUUUCUAUUUCAUUACUAAAAGUUUAAUUUAUAUCAAUUACAAACCUUGCAUUAAACAUAAUAUUAAUCACAUAUUUUCGGUUUUGAUUUUUUGGUUAAUGUUUGUCAUCAAUUCAUCUAUUGCAUAGUUGAUGCCAAUGUGUCGGUUAUACAUUUUUCUCGGUAUAAAUACUACACUUUAUGAGAUAGAUUGAGACAUCUUAUAUGUUAUUGAAUCUCUUCCUCUACCUAUUUCUUGUGUUUCCUGACACUUUCAAGGUAGAAUUCAUGGCUAAAUGUGGGCAGUCUCCAAGAAGCGCUUUUAGUUGUUGCAUCCUUGGAAACAAAUGUUUGAUUGCGCGAGAAUUUAUUCUAAGAACACCAUGUUAAAACAUGUUAUCAUUUUCUGAUUUCUUGUUUGUUUUCAUAUAUUACCGUAAUAUAUUUUUCUACAAAACAACAAUGUUUAAAUAUCCAAAAAUAAAAUCAUUAAAAUCCAACAAUAAUAUGUCAUUUGUUUUGAUUAACUUAGAGAUGGAUCAACAAGGAAUCUUUAGAUUAUGUAGUUAAGUUCAUCAAAACUAAUGAUGACAUUUAAUGAUUUUAACUAUUAUUUUAAAUUUAAGAUAUUGUAAAUUAAGAAGUAAUGCGACUGACCUUGUGCUUUUUUUUUUGGCAAUAAUGGCCUCCAAAACGAGGGUGUCCAAACCAGCUUAUGCGUACAUUGACUAAUCCUCCAUGGGAACAUGAAGUUAUGUCAUUUGCCCCGGAGUUAUAAAAAAUGAACCUCCAUGGCCACCCGAAGAAUAACAAUGUUAGGAUUCGAACAUGGGUUGUAACUUAUCCAUCAUAUCUUCUAUAUGACUUACCCCUACACCAUAAUCCUUGUGGUUGAGAAUGAGCUUUUGUUAGUCAAGUGGGGAAAAAAUUAUUGACCAAAUUGUACAUGAGAAUGAAAAGUUGAAAUUAUUUUCACUAAUCUUGUAGAUGUUGAUGUGAUUAUAAAGAGGUAAUCAGCCAGGGGGAUUGUUUGUAACAUCCUUGAAUGUUUAGGAAAAUUUAAUAUGUAUUUUGCUAUGAUUGUACAUUACAACAAGUGAAUUCUUAUUUUCAAUACUGUUAUGUUAAUAAGAAUGAAAGUUUAGUAUAA
Long non-coding RNA from Lactuca sativa (garden lettuce), 3987 nucleotides. RefSeq lists it as uncharacterized. Lineage: Eukaryota; Viridiplantae; Streptophyta; Magnoliopsida; Asterales; Asteraceae. The record is from RefSeq and is a predicted model, not a curated record.